Molecule: transfer RNA, 65 nt
Filed under: Tettigades ulnaria
Lineage: Eukaryota; Metazoa; Arthropoda; Insecta; Hemiptera; Cicadidae
Description: tRNA-Ile
Source: RNAcentral
AAUAAGGUGCCUGAUUAAAGGAUUAUUUUGAUAGAAUAAAUUAAGUAAAUAUAUUACUCUUAUUA